CUGCCUCCUGCCUGACUUGCAAGGUGUGACUGGGCUCUUCUGCCUCUGCUAGAGGGAUGGAGAGAGGGGACUGUAACAACCAGGAAAUGAUGACAGGAUGGGAGACCCAGGCUGAGAUAAUCUUCAAUGGUCCUGGUGUACAUGCCAAGCAAGAGGCAGUGGGUGGCUGCAGGAGAAAGGGCCUUUUCAGUGGUGGCACCAUGGCUAUUGACUGCUCCCCCCCAGAGAGGCUUGUCUAGCACCUACUUUAUAUUUUCAGCACCAGCGCCUCCCACUCCUGAAGAGUCAAGUCAUAGAUCCAUUUGCAGCACUAGUGGAACCCCUUUCAGAGAGACAGCACAACAAACAAAGCCCCAUCUGUCUGCUUUGUAUAUCCCACAACCUACCCGCUCCACCCUGACUGCAUGUGUGUAUCAUUUCUUUGGCUCCUAUUUUUUAAAUUUAAAAUGUAUGUUUCUACAUAGCCCAGGAAACACACAUUCUUACUAAAGGCCUUUGACAAUUAAGAAAUUUUUGUGGGC
This is a long non-coding RNA of Rhineura floridana, 521 nucleotides long. RefSeq lists it as uncharacterized. The transcript has 3 exons. The record is from RefSeq and is a predicted model, not a curated record. Lineage: Eukaryota; Metazoa; Chordata; Lepidosauria; Squamata; Rhineuridae.